AUGAGGCUCUAGAGGUUUGGGAAGUCGUGCUUAGCCCUUGCAGGAAGAGGCCAGACUCCAGAACAGCGCACUCACCUGGAGAUGGAGUGGAAACUGCUGCUGCGCACCGCCCCGGAGGAGGACCCGGAUCGAGGAAGGAUGCUGUGCAAAAAUGACAUGCGGACGCUCGCCAACGACAUGAAGCAACAGCGAACUCAAAGUUUCCCCAAGUUCCACAUUCUAUGGGAGGCCAUUUGACUCAUGGAGCGGAGGCAGAGGGUCAUAUGGUGACCUCAGGUGGAUAUUUGCAGCAAAUCACUAGAAUUCACUUUGGCGGACUGGCCUGUUAGUCACACAUAAAAGAAAAAUACAAUGCUAUUUAACUUAGUGGGCCCAAAGUUACUGUUGAAAUAAUUUUGUGGUUACUAUUUAAAUUUUAAUAUAUCUCUUGGACAUAGGUUAAACAGAUACUUUUAAUUGAUUUCUAUGCAUUUUGCUACUUUCAAAUCUCAUCCAUUUUUUUUGGGGGGGGGUGACCAACACUAAAUUCUUUUAGAAAAGAAUUUAAACUUAUUCUUUGAUAAUGUCACACUUGUACACAAUAUAUUGAGCAUAUCCACCCCAAACCCCCUCUUUCCCACUCCUCUGGGACCUUUCCUAACACACCCCCUUCCACCUCUAUGGCUCCUUUAAAAAAGAAAUAACACACCGAGUCCAUUUAGAGCUGUUUGUACUCACACAGGUGUGGGACCAUCCAUCUGAGCACGAGCAAUCCACUAGCAGCUCCUGCCUUCUCUCGGUAGCCAUCUUUUGCCAAUAGCUCCUCAGCUGGGUGGAGCCUCCUGAGCCCCUCCCCCAGCCAUGAUUGACAGUUGGCUGGUUUGAUCUUAGGCAGGUCUGGUGUAUCUGCUGUGAGCUCAUGAAGGCAAUGACCACACAUGUCCAGAAGACAGUGUUUCUCAGUACUCUUUCUUAUCCUCUGGCUUACAUCCUUUCUAUCCACCUUUCUAUGAUGUUCCCUUGUAGGGGUUGAUUUUUUAUAUAUGUAUGUAUUUAUUAUGUAUAUAUGCACAUAUAUGUAUGUAUAUAUAAUGUAUAUCAUAUAAAUGUCCCACUUAGGGCUAAGUAACCAACAGUCACUUAUUCUCAGUACUUUGACCUAUCACAUUUUCAUCUUUUUAAAAAAGGUUAAAUUUCAGCAUGUUUUUUUUCUGU
Molecule: non-coding RNA, 1194 nt
Organism: Peromyscus maniculatus bairdii (prairie deer mouse)
Lineage: Eukaryota; Metazoa; Chordata; Mammalia; Rodentia; Cricetidae
Source: RefSeq, a predicted model, not a curated record